GGGGUGAGGGACAUGCUGCUGGAAUGUGUUUCCUGCUUAUUAAAUAAAGUUAUUUUUCAGGAUUAAAUUUAAAAACUUGCACUACAGAACUGUGGGUGGGGCUUUUCCUUUUACAACUGUUUUUACCAGAGUUUAAACUUCCAUUUGGCAAUUUCUUAUCACUUGAAGUGUCAGCAUUUGUUAACUUUUGGAUAUCCUUCUGGUCACACCAAAGAAAAACGGCUAUGGCUAAUUUUCUUGGG
Molecule: non-coding RNA, 242 nt
Organism: Ceratotherium simum simum (southern white rhinoceros)
Lineage: Eukaryota; Metazoa; Chordata; Mammalia; Perissodactyla; Rhinocerotidae
Source: RefSeq, a predicted model, not a curated record